Molecule: ribosomal RNA, 273 nt
Filed under: uncultured bacterium
Lineage: Bacteria
Description: partial 16S ribosomal RNA
Rfam family: Bacterial small subunit ribosomal RNA
Source: RNAcentral
CCCGCCGGCGACCGGCGCACGGGUGAGUAACACGUAUGCAACCCUGGCCGCCACAGGGGGAUAACCCGCGGAAACGCGGCCUAAUACCCCGUGACGCCACCGGAGGGCAUCCUCCGGUGGCCAAAGGAGCGAUCCGGUGGCGGAUGGGCAUGCGGCGCAUUAGCUAGACGGCGGGGUGACGGCCCACCGUGGCGACGAUGCGUAGGGGUUCUGAGAGGAAGGCCCCCCACACUGGGACUGAGACACGGCCCAGACUCCUACGGAAGGCAGCAG